GUGCACGGAAAUUCUUUUUCCAUGAAGUAUAGAAGCUGAGGAACUGGUUUGGUUCCGGGAAUGAUCAGAAACAGUAGAACAUGCAGUGGCUAGGAUUUGCAGGUGAUUCAGGAAUGUUGCAUCCUGGAAUUAGCCAUGGAACUUGAGCACGUAGCCGCCGUUCAGACUCUCCUCUCUUGGGCUUGACGCCGCUCUCCCAGUACACUCAGCUUUAGUCUGCGACUUGAGAGUGGAAGAUACUGUGGUCAAUAUAAAGAUGCUUUCACCACCAUCCCGCCUCCAGCUGCUGCCUUGGGCAUUGAGUUCCUUGCAUGAAAUUGCAACAAGGAAAUAAGAGAAAGACCCUGCAAGCAAAGGGAAGUUGUGGGGAAGAUCCGGCAAAGUUGCUUUAAAUUGCCACAAGCGCAUUCUUUUAUUGCAAUUAAGCAAGUUGCCCUUUGGAAUCAACUUCGUAACUGCGUUUUCCAUCUGAAGUUAUUAAUUUACAUAACAAUACUUUCCUCAGAGUGGAUGAAUGGAUAGAUUCUGAAUGGAUCCAGCCAAAUGAGACACCCAUUGAUUGCAAUGAGUCAGUGGCAACAGUGAAAAUUGUAUUCUAACAUAACCUUUAAAUUCAUGGCCUGGCAGCUCAUGUCACGUGGCGAACGGUGAAGCCAGGAGCAGUGAUUAACAAACUUUCAAUGCUCCCUCUCAACCAGGAUACCUCCAUUGGUGGUAUUCAGUCCGCACUGUUCAUCCUAUGGUAAGUAACUCCUUUCUCCUCUCUAUCCACCUAAAACUAAGUUCAAUUUAUCUUCCUAUUGGUUGUUUGUCAGACUUUGUUAAUGUAUAGUUCUUGAUAAAGAUUGUAUUUCUUUAUUUUUCCUGUAAACGCCUGCGGGAAAAUGAAUUUCAAGGUAGGAUAUGAUGACAUGUACUUACUUGAUAAUAAGUUUACGUUGAUUUUUGACAUUGAUUUCUAUUUUUAUCCUCCACUUUUGACAAAAGCCCAUUGAUCUGUAACAUUAAUGUUGCUUUUCUUUCCACAGAUGCUGUCUGAUCGAUUGAGCAUCUCCAGACUUUUCUGUUUCUUAUUGCAGAUUUCUGAUAUUUGUUAUUUUUUAAAAAGUUUGUACUUUCGAACCAGAUGCUUUUAUUUUACCCACCACUGCCACCAAGUGGUGAUGUGCAAAAGCACACUCCCCAAAGCUAAUUUGAUUUACUGUAAUUUCAAAUUCAUGUCAUCUGGAAAUACUUAUCCUAGGAAAUCUUUAUAAUUUAGCCCUUUAGGACAGAGAUAUUCAAUAAUAAAUGAGGUGCAUAGAAAAUCUACCUUUCCUUGUUGCAGUAGAGAGCAAAUAAAAAGAGAUAUUAUCCCUUUCUACUAUCAAGUGAGAUCAAAUUAAUUUCCUGGAUUAUUCAGUCAGUUUUGAAGCUCAGAUUUAUGUGUGGUAAUAGAACCAAAACUUGAGUCUUCUGCUGCUCUGGGAAGUUUUAUGGAAAGGCGCCAGUGCAAGGUUUUGUAAGGACAAAUUGGAUUUGGCUCUAACAUAAUCCAAGCUAAAAUCCACAAACAUGGGUCAAUUUGAAUUGGACCAAUCAAAACUCAGUCCAAUCAAGGAAAGCUUAGCAUACAAAUGGAAACUGAAGCUCCUACUCUGUUUCCUUUUGGGUUACCCAAUCAAUGAGCCAAGCAUGGAUGUGAAGAAAUUUCACCUUAUUUCGUGCUCUCUUCUCACUGCUGCUCUCAGGAAGAAGGUACUGGAGCCUCAGGACUCACACCACCAGGUUCAGGAACAGUUUCUAUCUCUCAACAAGCAGGCUCUUGAACUAAAGGGGUAACUUCACUCGCCCUAUCAUUGAAAUGUUCUCACAACCCAAGGGCUCACUUUCAAGAACUCCUCAUCUCAUGUUCUCUAUGUUUAUUGCUCAUUUAUUUACUAUUAUUAUUUUUUCAUUUUGUAUUUACACAGUGUGUUGAUUUUUGAACACUGGUUGAGCACCAAAGUCAGUGUGGACUUUCUUUGAUUCUGUCAGGGUUAUUAUUCUAUAUGUUUAUUGAGUACGUCCACAAAAAUGAAACUCAGGGUUGUAUAUGGUGACAUACAGUAUAUGUACAUUGAUAAUAAAUUUACUUUGAACUCUGAAGUUUUAACUUUUUAAAUGACUGGCCUCUAAUCAUGACACCAUGUCCUCUUUCCUCUGGAAGGAAAUGUUUUUGGUAUUUAAUAUGUCAGUCUUCUCCAUAUUCCAGUCAGAUUAAGCUAAUUUUCAACCUGGUUACACUUGGACACAUAUUCCUUGGACUGUCAAUUCAAACAGCUGGGCUUCAAUAUCCUCUUAACUUGCAUCACACCUAGUGUAGUGACCUCUUGUGGCUUUAAAUGGUUUGACAUCAGCCAUUUAUUUUAAAUAUCCGAAUGUCACAGGCUAAUAUAGCACAGAAACAGGCCCUUCAGUCUGCAGAGACUGCCAAGCACCCAUUGGUAUUUGUCCUACACUGAUCACACUUAAUUGGAAUAUUGUAAGCAAUUUUGGGCCCCACAUCUCAGAAAGAAAGUGCUGGCAUUGGAGAAUGUCCAAAGAAUGCUCCCAGGAACGAAAGGAUUAACAAAUGAGGAGUGUUUGAUGUCUCUGGACCUGUACUCAUGGGAAUUUAGAAAAAUGUGUGAGGGGUGGUGGGAAGUGAUCUAACUGAAACCUAUUGAAUAUUGAAAGGCCUAGAUAGAGUGGAUGUGAAGAGGAUGUUCCCAGUAGUUGGAGAGUAUAGGUUCAGAAGUCACAGCCUCAGAAUAGAAGGAUGUGUGUUUAGAUCAGGGACGAGGGAGGAGAUUCUUUAGCUGGAGAGUGGUAAAGGUUGAUAGGUUCUUGAUGAGUAAAAGAAUCAAAGGCUGCGGGGAGAAGGAGAAUAAGAUUGAGAGCAGAAAUAGAUCACCCAUGAUCGAAAGGGGCUAAGGGUGAAAAUAAUUGAGUCAUAUUCGAAUAGUAGAGCAGAUUCAGUGGGCCAUAUGGCCUAAUUCUGCUUCCAUGUCUUAUUCUCUUACAGAUCAAGGGUUAACAUAACCACUGUGAUCUAAUUGUGGUCUCAAGAUGUUUCUUACAUCCUCCAAAGAAUAGGGAUUUCUCAGUCAUUUAACCUGAAUAUAUCCGCACUAUUUACCAUAAACCUAGCUGAAUAACUCUCCAGUUAGUCACUUUGGUUAUUCUGCCUUUGAGACAACUGUGCAAUUAUCAAUGAAACAAGUUCUCACAAAUGCGUUCGAACUUUGACCAGUGCCAUGAAUGGCACCUGUGUGGCAGCUGAAGACUGUUUCGAUUGUGGAGACACUGAUUCCUUUAACUAUCCCAACUCUGUUUCAAAAGGACCUGUUGAAAGGUAAAGUGGCAAGGUGGAAGACUUGCUGCAGGGCUCCCAGAAUACAUGCGAUCCAGCAUGUUCAAUAGUGCAAUUAUGCAGUGCAUGUUGGGUGAAGGCCUGUAUCACAGGACUUGCAUUCACUGUGGAACCAAGGGCACAGCUGAAGACAGGACAGGCUCCAAGUCAAACGCUUCAACUGUAGUGAAGGAUAGGUUAAAAAUUAUGAAGAGCUCAUUGUAAAAUUACGCACUUAAGUAAAUCAAUUAGUUGUCAGCGGAUUCUGGAGUCAGAGAUCCACACAAGCACGAGAAAUGAUUUCUGAUAAUACCCUGGAUUAACAAAUAGGUGGACUGGAUUUCUAGGCCCAGUGUUUGGAGUCACAUCAUCAGUGAGUCCAGAAUUUGAGGCCUAGUGUUUGGAAUCCAAACUGAGGAUUGAGGCCCAAAGGUCAAAUCAGACGCUGAGGCCCUUUGGCUGGAGCCAAGUCUGCAAAUGUCUAUGAGUCUGUUUAUCAGAGGCCCUUGGUAUUAUUAAGGAUCAUUUUUAGAUUUAAUUCUCACUUUCCUAAGUUAUUGUUUGUUAUGUGUACUACUGUGCUAUACACCCUGGUUCUCAUGUACACGUAUAUAGUUAAAUGACAGUGAAAUUGACUUGAGGAGGUCAAAGCCUGGUGUGUGCAUCCCUGAAUCAAUGUCCGCUAGAGGCUGGAGAAUUGUCCUGGAGUUGCAAGACCAUGUAUGUGUGUGGGUGGGAAAGAAGGGGGAAACGGGACUUGUUUUUGCUGCUGUUUUUUUGUUGCUUGUUGUGUUCUGCGUAGUUCUGCUGAGCAUCGUGGACAUGGCAUGUUGGCAUCGGAAUGUGCGUUGGCACUUGCGGGCUGCCCUCAGCACACCCUCAGGUUGUUCCACUGUGUGCUUCACUGUGCCCCUGACAAAUAAAUUAGAUUGUUGAAUCUUACAGAUAAUGGACUAGGUAGCUGUUGUGGCGACCCACUUCCCAGCGCACUCGAACCGGCUCACAAAUCGGCGCACGCCAGCAUUGAGGCCAGUCCCAAAAAGUGCGCCAAGUCUGCUUCACCAGCAAGGGGAAAAGCCCGCGAGCGGGACGGGACUGUGAAUACUCACCCCCUACAGCAUUCCCGCCCGGGGAGUGCGGGAUCAGGAAGGCUCUAAAGCGAGGCCGCGAAGCUCGAAUAAAUCUUUUUUGCAACUGCAGCUCAAUAACUACGUGUCGUUAUUUCAGCGCUGCGUGUAGCACACCGCUACACUGUGGCUUAAUCAGUUCCAUGUUUUGUGUGAGUCUCUUUAUAUUUCACAGAUCAUUUAAGGCUAAUGAAGUAGCCUUAUAUCAAAGUUCAAGUUCAAAGUUCAAAUUAAAUUUAUCAUCAAGGUACAAUGGGUGAUUGAUAAGUUUGUGCCAGUUAGAAUGCUCUCCAUGGUACAUUUGUAGAAGUUUUUGAGUGUUUUACUAAGGAAGGGAAAUGGGAAAUAAUUCAUUUGGGAUAUCAAGCCCAUUGUCAAAGAGGAAAGAGUCAACAGAUGCUUUUCUACUGAUGUGUACGAAGGAGAGUGCUCUUGUGACCUAUGCAUAUGCCAUCCUCAAACAGACAAAAGGAUAUUGUGCAUUCCACCUCUCCAGAUAAUCACAGGUCUCGGGUAAAAGAAUGCAAUUCCAUUCUUCAGUCUUAUAGCCCAGUGAGUGAUGAGAAAUGGUAUUAGAGCAUAUUCUGGAGUUGGGGUAUAUAGCAAAUAUUAACAUUAGCAAUCAAACUUUGGAGCUGAACAUGGAUUGUAGAUUAAGUUUAAAAUGUAGCCCUGAACAAUAGUUCCCUGGAGCUGUGGACACCAGUUAGUUAAAAACCAGACAAUGCUGAUUAACAUUUAUUUUGGGUGUCUGGAGUGUGGGUGUGAAAAAGGAGAUGUGAAAAUUAUAUGUAAUUCAAAUUAAGCAUUGUAGAUACAUUGUGACUAUGGAAUUGUCCAGUUGCUACUUUUGAUCUUUAGCAUAUAAAAAUGUCAUGUAAUAUUGGGUCAAGCAGCCCUCUUCC
Molecule: long non-coding RNA, 5384 nt
Organism: Hypanus sabinus (Atlantic stingray)
Lineage: Eukaryota; Metazoa; Chordata; Chondrichthyes; Myliobatiformes; Dasyatidae
Exons: 6
Source: RefSeq, a predicted model, not a curated record